RNAcentral lists this unclassified non-coding RNA (200 nucleotides) under soil metagenome. RNAcentral describes it as "partial contains internal transcribed spacer 2 and large subunit ribosomal RNA". The record is from RNAcentral.
UGGAUCAUGGUCUUUUGUCGAGAGUGUACACCUUUGGACUGGACUGAAAUACAAGAAGCUGUAUGGAUUAGUGCGGUUUGACCUGACGUUGUAGACUUUUCAACUCGUUGGGGACGCAUGAAUCUAAUGAGUUUAACAAAUCACUAAUCUGAUUAGUACAAUCAGACCUCAAAUCAAGUAGGACUACCCGCUGAACUUAA